RNAcentral lists this ribosomal RNA (501 nucleotides) under Berndtia purpurea. RNAcentral describes it as "partial 16S ribosomal RNA". It matches the Rfam family "Bacterial large subunit ribosomal RNA", at positions 1861 to 2625 of the family's 2925-position model. Lineage: Eukaryota; Metazoa; Arthropoda; Thecostraca; Lithoglyptida; Lithoglyptidae. The record is from RNAcentral.
GCCCACUGAAAUAUUUUUAAGGGCCGCAGUAUCCUAACUGUGCUAAGGUAGCGUAAUCAUUUGUCAUUUAAUUAAUGACUAGUAUGAAGGGCUUAACGAGAGGAUAACUAUCUACUAUUUAAUAAAUGAAAUUAACCUAUUAGUUAAAAGGCUAAUAUAAUCUAAAAAGACGAGAAGACCCUAAAGAGCUUAGCAGAAAGGUUUAAUAAAAGAAACUUAACCUCUUAUUAUUAAAUUCUUCUGCUUAAUUGGGGUGAUUAAAAGAUAAAUAAAACUCUUUUUAAUUAACUACUUUUUAUAAGGUAUAAAUGAUCCGGCCUGCCGAUUAUAAGAAAAAGUUACCUUAGGGAUAACAGCGUAAUGCUUAUUAAGAGCCCAUAUCGACAUAAGUGUUUGCGACCUCGAUGUUGGACUAAAAUUAAAUCAUGGUGCAGAAGCCAUACUUUUUAGGUCUGUUCGACCUUUAAUUUUUUACACGAUCUGAGUUCAGACCGGCGAGAG